UCUGCCUGGUAGUGGGGGACGAACGUUUCGAAAGGAACGCUAAUACCGCAUACGUCCUACGGGAGAAAGCAGGGACCUUCGGGCCUUGCGCUAUCAGAUGAGCCUAGGUCGGAUUAGCUAGUUGGUGAGGUAAUGGCUCACCAAGGCGACGAUCCGUAACUGGUCUGAGAGGAUGAUCAGUCACACUGGAACUGAGACACGGUCCAGACUCCUACGGGAGGCAGCAGUA
Molecule: ribosomal RNA, 229 nt
Filed under: uncultured Pseudomonas sp.
Lineage: Bacteria; Pseudomonadati; Pseudomonadota; Gammaproteobacteria; Pseudomonadales; Pseudomonadaceae
Description: partial 16S ribosomal RNA
Rfam family: Bacterial small subunit ribosomal RNA
Source: RNAcentral